Molecule: long non-coding RNA, 1597 nt
Organism: Passer domesticus (house sparrow)
Lineage: Eukaryota; Metazoa; Chordata; Aves; Passeriformes; Passeridae
Exons: 3
Source: RefSeq, a predicted model, not a curated record
GAGGGGCUCAGUGUCACCGAGAGGCACUGGGUGCAAAUGAACUACAGCGAGGGUACCACCCCCGAACAGCUGGCACAAGCGCUUCCACCGCGGAGAGGGCCCUUCUGCUUUCUCCGCGAGAGAGGGCUUAGCGCAGCCAGAGAGCGCACCCAGCGCCCCGGGAUGAACCCGCGGCAAGCGAGCGGGGAGGGCAGCGGGGCGCUGGCGGCUCCCGUGAGGCGGGGCGGGCCGCGCAGGUACCCGGGCCCCUCCCCGCGGAGGGGGCGGCGGCCGCGCGGCUCCUAACGCGGCCUGACAGCCACCGCCGCCCCCCCGCGCUGACAUCACCGGCCGGGAUUUAAAUAGCUCCGCAGCCGCUGCCUCCCGGAUACAGCGCGCCCCAUUGGCCGCCGCCGCGGCCAAUGGCCGCGCCGCGCCCCUGCGCUCCGCCAAUGGCGGGGCCGCGGCCGGCGCGCGCCUCCCCUGUCGCUAAGGGAGGGAAAUACAGCGCGCGCGGCGGGCUGUCAGCGCUCCGGCGGCGGCGUCUCCCGGGCGGUGAAACGCAGGACGAGCGGCCCCGCCGUGCUGUUUCCUCCUCGGGGAGAGCUUGAAACGAGAGGGAAAGAGAGAGAGAGCGAGAGGGGAGAGCGAUCGGUGGUGACUCGGGGGCUGGCCGGGCCGCCGCUGGGGCUCGGCGGCCGCAGACGGUGGAUUUGUGGGAAGAGGACGGGAUGAGAAAUAAACGCGCCCGGCCAGCGGUGUUUAGGGGAGCGGGGGCCGGGUGCCGGAGCGCCCGGACUCCGGACGCGGAGCCGCCGAGCUGCAAUGGACGCUGCCCGCCGCUGGCCGCAGAGCGGAGCACAGCCGCCGCCGCCGAGGAGCGAGAGCUGCCCGCCCGGAGCCGGCCCGCAGCCCGGAGCGGGAGCGGGAGCUUGCCCUUCGGCGUCGCUCCGGUGAGCGCGGGCCGGGCCGCCCGGAUGGGCUGCGAGGCACGAGCGACUAGAACUCCUUGGAUGUGUCAGAAGUGAGCGCCGAGAGGAUUUUGUGGUCUUUGUGGGAGGAAGGCACAAGCCACCCAAGCCCCGUUCCCUCCAUCUUGAGCCUUCUGUGGUGAUUUGCAGCAGCAGCACAGGGAAGUAUGAAGCACUGAGGGGCAGAAGUCAGUGUUUAAACCUGGCUUCACUUCAGCAUUAACGACCACGCAAGUUUCACAUAACAGCAGGACCAGAAUAGCAGAAGUACUUAAGGUGCCUCAUUUAAAAGUUCUCUUCUGCAUAUCUAAAGAUUAGGCAGCUGUUCAGAAAAGAUGAUUAUACAAGUGUUUUUAUUUACUGUCCUAACAGAAGAUGAUGAUCCGCAUUACCUUACAUGCAUCUUGGAUGCAUCUGUAUCACCAUAUAGAUUUCAGGGGACCUGUAUUGAUUUAAGUUAGUAGAGAAACCCAGUGAAGUUUUAAAUAAUCGGAAUAAUAUUCUCCCUCUCUUUCAGUCAGAUUUGCCCUUCAUGUUACUUGUGUUUCAUAAUCCUCCUAGCUCUCCAUUUCGUCAUUACAAGACCAGCAUCUCUACUGUAAAAAAAAAAAAAAAAAAAAUAGAGAGAGGAUCGAUCACCCCCCCCC